UACGGGGGGGGCAAGCGUUGUUCGGAAUUACUGGGCGUAAAGGGUUCGUAGGUGGCUUGUUAAGUCAGACGUGAAAUCCCUCGGCUCAACCGGGGAACUGCGUCUGAGACUGAUGAGCUCGAGUGCAGGAGAGGAACGCGGAAUUCCAGGUGUAGCGGUGAAAUGCGUAGAUAUUGGGAAGAACACCGGUGGCGAAGGCGGCGACCUGGUCCUUGACUGACGCUGAGGCGCGAAAGCGUGGGGAGCAAACAGG
This 253-nucleotide ribosomal RNA is filed under the name uncultured bacterium. Its description in RNAcentral is "partial 16S ribosomal RNA". It matches the Rfam family "Bacterial small subunit ribosomal RNA", at positions 524 to 776 of the family's 1533-position model. The record is from RNAcentral.